This 3446-nucleotide long non-coding RNA is filed under the name Homo sapiens (human). Its description in RNAcentral is "HSALNT0024206". Lineage: Eukaryota; Metazoa; Chordata; Mammalia; Primates; Hominidae. The record is from RNAcentral.
UUGAUAUUGACGUGACCCUUCUCUUUGUGAAGGCACAUGGCACUUUGCACUGUGUCAUGAAUCCUUUUGGUUUGGUGGGGUGGGUACCCCCUACCUCUAUUUAUGUGAUAAAAGCUAGGAUUAUACUGAAGGUCCCUUUACCUCAGUAUAAAAUUUGUUUUUGUUUUUUUCAAUUGCCUAAUCUAGGCUGCUUGGAAAAAGUUACAUUGGUGCCGGGAUUCAGCCCUUGCCUGGACAGAGGUGGCCGCUAGAGUCAUCAGCAUGGACACUGGCACCAGUGACUACAUAGGUCCCAGGAUCGUAGCCAGCCACCUCGGGUGCCUCCGGAGACCACUUGAGAAGUGCAGAGACUGUGGGCCAGCCCCUCAUUCUUGUCUGAGACAGUGAUGCCCUCCCCACUCAGUAAUUAUGCACAGCUAGCAGAGGUGGGAGCUGGGUUCUCCCACACCCUGCAGCAAAUCGGAAAUCCCAGGGUGAGGACAGGAGGAUAGAAUUGUUGUGCCAGCUCAGCACCCACUCCUCUUGUGUGCCCAGGCAGGCUGCUGAGAUCCCCCAGCAUUCUGGGCUGGGCAAGAACUCAGAUUUCCACCUGAGGUUGGAGAAGCUUCAGAGUUCAGCCCCUGACCAGCAGAGUCCUGGGAGAGAGGGCAGUGCUAGCAGAUAAAAUCUCAGCCAAUGGGGCUGUGCAGGUGGCCCCAAGGCCUCCAGCUCCACAGAUAAGAAUCAGAAGCACAGCCAUCUCAAUUAGAAAGCAAUUUGAGUUAUCACGCUAAUUAAAGGGGUGUGCAGGCACAAGACCUGACUAGAUCUAGAUCCCUAACGUUAACAAAAAUCAGAUGGUUGAGAAUAAGAAUUUCACAUAAAUAGAAAUGUGAAAGUACGAUGUGCAACUGAGAAGUUGCCAUGAUUUUUUCUUUUCAGGCUGUUGCUCUGAAAUGAAUGGCUUCAUUUAAUCACAAAAGAAGGAAUACCAGCAAGACCACCCAGGCCCCAGCUCCGGUUUUUCCUGAAGAAUUUGGCCGCAUCUCCCUUUUUGAAGGCAGAGUUUCAUCUUGAAAGUGUGGUAGAGACAUAAUCAAAGAUUCAGACAAAGAUAUAACUACAGAAUGCACAUGACGGUUUUGUUAAUACACCAAAAGGAAAAAAAUUAAAUAACGGACUCUCCCAAUAAAUUGUGACCAUCUAUAGUUUGGAAUAACAUGAAGAUUGUUAAAAACUAUGUUUACAAGAAUGGCAAUAACAGAGAAACACUUGCUAUAUAAUUUUCACAAUAACAAGACUUAGCUAGUUUAGGUUUUGAAAAUGAACACACUGACAGCCAUUGUGAGAAGAUAGCCUGGCCUUUUGGAGGACAAAUGCUGUGGGGUGGCGUAACCUUGAGGCUCAAGUCCUGGCACUGGCAUUUAGUGUGAGUCAUGCUGUAUUGCUUCACCUCCUGGGCUUCAGUCUCUCCAUCUGUGAAUGUAGAAUGACAAUACCUGCUGUGCUGUAAGGUCACUGUGAAGAUUAAAUGAGAUAAUGCUUUGUAACCUGUUGGCCUCUGUGCAGUUUAAAAUGAUGUUUUUCAUUACUUGGCUAAGUGCUGUACACCCACUGCUCUGUAGGCAAAAUUCAAACAAAAAGCUUUGUAAUGCUCCCACCCAUUGAAAACAUUACUAUGUUAGCCUCUAUAUACAUAAAUUAUUAUAACAAUACCUGGAAGGUAGGAAACACACUUUGAAUUAUAUUGUUUCUAAGAGUGAGGAUAAGGAUUACUUUCAUUCAUUUAUACUUUUUGGGCACCAAUAAUAUGUAUUUGUAAGAUGAGAUGGCCACUUUAUAGAUUGCAUCUUGUAUAUUAAGAAACAAUUAAAUCUAUUUUAAAAGUACAGCUAAAAACCUCCAUUUCCCGAAAUAGCGUGGAUUAGAUUACCUAAAAUCUUUCCUACUACAAAACAUCUAGAAAUGUUAAAAACCUGUAAUAUUCUUUUAAAUUCAUUAUUUGAAUUCCAAGAAAGUAAGAAAUAUCCCUAGGGAAAAAAAUGAAGAUGGAUCUGAACACCAAAAUGUAAGCACAAGCCAAUGUUGCAACAGCCUGGGUGGGGAAAGGGGAGUGAGAAAGUAUGAAGUUGCCAAUCUUAUUAGGCAAGAGGAUCUGCCUCUCUCAAUCUCUAUCUCUCUUUUUAAAAAAUUAAAUUAAAAAAUUUCAAGCACUCACAUAGAAUACUAUAUGACACCUCCAAAUACCUGUCACCUAGAUUCAUUACCAAAAUCUUGCAACAUUUUAUCUUUAUUGUUUGUAUUUUUAUCUUUGCUGAAGUUUUUACAUUGAAUCCUAGACAUCAUGCCAUUUCACUUCACAUAUUCUUAUAUGCAUAUCUAUUUAAACAGCACAGGAAAAGAGGUAUGAGUAUAAAAUCAAAGAAUUCAAACAGAGGCCUUAUAAUGUUAAACUUGAAUUGGAAAUAUUAGCAUGAACUCUCUCUUAAGAGAGAGUUUUAUCUCUUAAGAGAAAAGGCCUGGCAAAAAUGAAAACUCAGGAGCAAGAGGUCUUUGAUGACUUCCUUUUUUCUGACACUGAAAGAUGCCCCAGGAUCUUCUUGGACAUUUCUUGUCCCAAAUCUGUAAUUAUUCAUUUUUCCAAGGAAGCCUGGUCUUCUUAGUAAGAAAUGACACUUAAUGACCAAUCCAGGACUGACACAGAUCCUAGAAUAAGCAAACAAGGACCUUGAAGCAAUUACCAUAACUGUAUUCAAUAUGUUCAAAAAGUUAAGAAAGACAUGGAACAUAAAUUUUUAAAAUUAGACUUCUAGAGAUGAAAACUACAAUGUGUGAGAUGAAAAACACACUGAAUGGGAUGAGGGGAUUAACAGUAGAUUUGACAUUUUUUAAAAAGAUUAAUGAACUGGAGGACAUAAGCAAUAAAAAACAUUCAAAAUAAAAAAUAUAGAAAAAAUAAGUUUAAAACAUGAAAAAAGCAUCAGUGAGCUGUGGCACAACUUCAAGUUUUUAAUAUAAUAGGGGAUCCUAAAGAAGGGGGGAAAUAGAAAAAUAUCUGAUGAAUAAUGGUCAAAAUAUUCCCCCCGAUUUGAUGAAAACUGUAAAACUACAAUCCAGAAAGUUCAAUGAAUCUCAAGCACAAAAAUUAUGAAGAAAACUACACCAAGAUACAUCAUAAUAAAAAUACUCAAAGCCAGUGAUAAGAGAAAAUUUUCAAAGCAGUACAUUUAUCUACAGAGGAACACAUGUAAGGGUGAUAGCAGACUUCUCAUAGGAAACAAUGCAAGUGAAAAGACAAUGGUGCAACACCUAAAAAAAGCACUGAGCACUAAGUGAAAGAAAAACUCUGUAAACCUAGUAUUGUAUACCUAGUAAAAUAUCUUUCAAAAAUAAGGUAAAAAUAAAAACUACUUUCAAACAUAUGAAAGCUGAAAGAAUUAAUCACCAGCAGACAUACACAAUUAAAC